UCAGGCCGUGAGGUCUCUAACCGGGGUCGGUUUAAUCCCUCACUGGCCGAGGGCCGUGCGCUGCCGACCACCGACACGCAUCGUGACUUGUUCCGCUCGAUAUAUCACAGCGUGACAACAGAUCACGACAGUUGUCUUGGGAGAGCGGGCUCCGACGGGAGCAAGAAUGCUCAGGAUGCCCAACUACGUGCUAAAAUUGACCAGGGUGGUGCUGAGCCACAAGCUCAGGGCUCUGUUUAUCCUCACCUUUAAGUUAAUGUCCUUUGCCUCCAUCAUGUUGUACUGGAGAAUCACAGAGGACCCUAAGGGCAGGGGCCAGGUCUACAGUUUGCCUGUUGAGAUCCACUGUGCUCACUCUGUGCCUUCUCCUCCCCACGCCAUUGCUGGUGGACCCUCUCCUUCCCCAGGGGAUGUGUUUUUUGUGGAGACCUCGGAGCGAACUGACCCAAGUUACCUGUUCACAUGCUCUGUGGAGUCAGCAGCCAGGACGCACCCUGGGACAAGGGUCGUGGUGCUCAUGAAAGGUUUGCCUAGUGGGAACGCCUCAUUACCCAACCACUGGGGCUUCUCGUUGCUGAGCUGCUUCCCCAACGUGGAAAUCCGGCCCCUGGACUUGACGGAGCUUUUCUCUGGAACACCUCUGGCAAAGUGGUACUUGCAGGCUCAGCAGCGCUGGGAGCCUUAUUUCUUACCCAUCCUGUCUGAUGCCUGCAGAAUCGCCAUCAUGUGGAAAUUUGGUGGCAUCUACCUGGACACAGACUUCAUUGUGCUUAAGAACUUAAAGAACCUCACCAAUGUGCUUGGUACCCAGUCCAAGUAUGUACUGAACGGGGCCUUUCUGUCCUUUAAGCCCAAACACAAGUUCAUAGAGCUUUGCAUGCAGGACUUUGUGGAUAACUACAACAGCUGGAUCUGGGGGCACCAGGGCCCACAGCUCCUAACACGUGUCUUCAAGAAGUGGUGCUCCAUCAGGAGUCUUCGGAGCAGUACGAGCUGCAAAGGAGUGAGUGCUCUGCCCCGUGAGGCUUUUUAUCCCAUUCGGUGGCAGGACUGGAAGAAAUACUUUGAAGUGGUCAGCUCCUCGGAGCUUCACCACCUCUUUAAUAACACCUACGCGGUACACGUAUGGAACAAGAAGAGCCAAGGGACAAGGCUAGAGAUCACAUCCCAGGCUUUGCUGGCUCAACUGCAUUCUCACUUCUGCCCUGCCACGUACGACAUCAUGAAGAAGGACUCUGGACAGCAGUGACUCAAGCGUCAGCUAAAAGAUGUUGCCCAGGAGCCCACAACUCUCCAGCUGUUCCAUCACAAAUGAACCUCCUUUUGAAAAGGAAUAGGAAGCCUGCUAGAGAGGCAGAAGGUCAGGAGGAGAUGAGAGAUUGAAAGGGAGUUCAGAGAUCAGUUUGAAGCAAACCAAACCUAAUUUCUGCAUCUGGCUACAGG
Molecule: RNA transcript, 1443 nt
Organism: Grus americana (Whooping crane)
Lineage: Eukaryota; Metazoa; Chordata; Aves; Gruiformes; Gruidae
Gene name: lactosylceramide 4-alpha-galactosyltransferase-like
Exons: 3
Source: RefSeq, a predicted model, not a curated record